CUGGCUCAGGACGAACGCUGGCGGCGUGCUUAACACAUGCAAGUCGAACGGAAAGGCCUGCAGCUUGCUGCGGGUACUCGAGUGGCGAACGGGUGAGUAACACGUGGGUGAUCUGCCUUGCACUUCGGGAUAAGCUUGGGAAACUGGGUCUAAUACCGGAUAGGACAGCUGUUUAGUGUCAGUUGUGGAAAGUUUUUUCGGUGCAAGAUGAGCUCGCGGCCUAUCAGCUUGUUGGUGGGGUAAUGGCCUACCAAGGCGUCGACGGGUAGCCGGCCUGAGAGGGUGUACGGCCACAUUGGGACUGAGAUACGGCCCAGACUCCUACGGGAGGCAGCAGUGGGGAAUAUUGCACAAUGGGCGGAAGCCUGAUGCAGCGACGCCGCGUGGGGGAUGAAGGCCUUCGGGUUGUAAACUCCUUUCGACAGGGACGAAGCGUAAGUGACGGUACCUGUAUAAGAAGCACCGGCUAACUACGUGCCAGCAGCCGCGGUAAUACGUAGGGUGCGAGCGUUGUCCGGAAUUACUGGGCGUAAAGAGCUCGUAGGUGGUUUGUCGCGUCGUCUGUGAAAUUCCGGGGCUUAACUCCGGGCGUGCAGGCGAUACGGGCUGACUUGAGUGCUGUAGGGGAGACUGGAAUUCCUGGUGUAGCGGUGAAAUGCGCAGAUAUCAGGAGGAACACCGAUGGCGAAGGCAGGUCUCUGGGCAGUAACUGACGCUGAGGAGCGAAAGCAUGGGUAGCGAACAGGAUUAGAUACCCUGGUAGUCCAUGCCGUAAACGGUGGGCGCUAGGUGUAGGGGGCUUCCACGUCUUCUGUGCCGUAGCUAACGCAUUAAGCGCCCCGCCUGGGGAGUACGGCCGCAAGGCUAAAACUCAAAGGAAUUGACGGGGGCCCGCACAAGCGGCGGAGCAUGUGGAUUAAUUCGAUGCAACGCGAAGAACCUUACCUG
This 948-nucleotide ribosomal RNA is filed under the name Corynebacterium striatum. RNAcentral describes it as "bacterial SSU rRNA". It matches the Rfam family "Bacterial small subunit ribosomal RNA", at positions 19 to 977 of the family's 1533-position model. Lineage: Bacteria; Bacillati; Actinomycetota; Actinomycetes; Mycobacteriales; Corynebacteriaceae. The record is from RNAcentral.